RNAcentral lists this ribosomal RNA (253 nucleotides) under uncultured bacterium. RNAcentral describes it as "partial 16S ribosomal RNA". It matches the Rfam family "Bacterial small subunit ribosomal RNA", at positions 524 to 776 of the family's 1533-position model. The record is from RNAcentral.
UACGAAGGGGGCUAGCGUUGCUCGGAAUCACUGGGCGUAAAGCGCACGUAGGCGGAUUGUUAAGUCAGGGGUGAAAUCCUGGAGCUCAACUCCAGAACUGCCUUUGAUACUGGCGAUCUUGAGUCCGGGAGAGGUGAGUGGAACUGCGAGUGUAGAGGUGAAAUUCGUAGAUAUUGGGAAGAACACCGGUGGCGAAGGCGGCUCACUGGCUCAUAUCUGACGCUCAGGCGCGACAGCGUGGGGAUCAAACAGG